RNAcentral lists this ribosomal RNA (468 nucleotides) under uncultured bacterium. RNAcentral's name for it is "partial 16S ribosomal RNA". It matches the Rfam family "Bacterial small subunit ribosomal RNA", at positions 28 to 507 of the family's 1533-position model. The record is from RNAcentral.
GACGAACGCUGGCGGCGUGCUUAACACAUGCAAGUCGAACGGAAAGGCCCUGCUUUUGUGGGGUGCUCGAGUGGCGAACGGGUGAGUAACACGUGAGUAACCUGCCCUUGACUUUGGGAUAACUUCAGGAAACUGGGGCUAAUACCGGAUAGGAGCUCCUGCUGCAUGGUGGGGGUUGGAAAGUUUCGGCGGUUGGGGAUGGACUCGCGGCUUAUCAGCUUGUUGGUGGGGUAGUGGCUUACCAAGGCUUUGACGGGUAGCCGGCCUGAGAGGGUGACCGGCCACAUUGGGACUGAGAUACGGCCCAGACUCCUACGGGAGGCAGCAGUGGGGGAUAUUGCACAAUGGUCGGAAGCCUGAUGCAGCAACGCCGCGUGCGGGAUGACGGCCUUCGGGUUGUAAACCGCUUUCGCCUGUGACGAAGCGUGAGUGACGGUAAUGGGUAAAGAAGCACCGGCUAACUACGUG